Molecule: non-coding RNA, 73 nt
Organism: Suillus subluteus
Lineage: Eukaryota; Fungi; Basidiomycota; Agaricomycetes; Boletales; Suillaceae
Source: the annotation of a GenBank genome assembly
GGACUUAUGGCUUAGUGGUUAUAUCGCUGCACCUAUCAACAUGAGGUCUUUGGUUCAAUUCCAGCCAUUUGCA